CUGAUGUUCCAGUGUAACAAGUUAAAUUGACAUUCUAGUGUAACUAGUUAACUUGAGUGUAACAAAUUAACUUGAGUGUAACAAGUUAACUUGAGGUUCCAGUGUAACAAGUCAACCUGAUGUUCAAGUGUAACAAGUUAACUUGAGGUUCCAGUGUAACAAGUUAACCUGAGGUUCUAGUGUAACAAGUUAACCUGAGGUUCCAGUGUAACAAGUUAGCAUGAGGUUCCAGUGUAACAAGUUAACCUGAGGUUCCAGUGUAACAAGUUAGCAUGAGGUUCCAGUGUAACAAGUUAACCUGAGGUUCCAGUGUAACAAGUUAGCAUGAGGUUCCAGUGUAACAAGUUAACCUGAGGUUCCAGUGUAACAAGUUAACCUUAGGUUCUAGUGUAACAAGUUAACUUUAGGUUCUAGUGUAACAAGUUAACAUUAGGUUCCAGUGUAACAAGUCAACCUGAGGUUCUAGUGUAACAAGUUAACCUGAGGUUCCAGUGUAACAAGUUAACCUGAGGUUCCAGUGUAACAAGUCAACUUGAGGUUCCAGUAUAAAAAGUUAACCUGAGGUUCCAGUGUAACAAGUUAAAUUGACGUUCUAGUGUAACAAGUUAACUUGAGUGUAACAAAUUAACUUGAGUGUAACAAGUCAACCUGAGGUUCCAGUGUAACAAGUUAACCUGAGGUUCCAGUGUAACAAGUUAACCUGAGGUUCUAGUGUAACAAGUUAACCUG
Long non-coding RNA from Mizuhopecten yessoensis (Yesso scallop), 729 nucleotides. RefSeq lists it as uncharacterized. The transcript has 3 exons. Lineage: Eukaryota; Metazoa; Mollusca; Bivalvia; Pectinida; Pectinidae. The record is from RefSeq and is a predicted model, not a curated record.